Rosa rugosa (rugosa rose) is the source of this 1331-nucleotide long non-coding RNA. RefSeq lists it as uncharacterized. NCBI's taxonomy places the organism in Eukaryota, Viridiplantae, Streptophyta, Magnoliopsida, Rosales, Rosaceae. The record is from RefSeq and is a predicted model, not a curated record. The transcript has 8 exons.
UCCGCUUCAUUUAUUUGCCAGCUACUGAAGCACUCUCUCUCAAAUCUGAACUCUCAAUACUGCAGAAGAGGGAAGAAGGGUAAGAGGAAACGAGAGGAGACGGAGAUAUUGAGGAGGUUUUGAUCUGGGUUCUGCCGACGGGAGGAACGAAGAUGCAGAGGAGAGAAGGGAAAAGAAGAUGAAGAGGGAGAGCCUUCAGCAAUUAGAUAUGCUCUGAUCGAAAUUCCAAGGGAUGAGAAGAGAUGAGUUUUGCAGCAGAAUCUCAGCCAAAACAGGGAAUUCCCUGAGAAAUGUAAGGAAGCUGUUGCAUUACUGAUGGUUGCUGUAGCUAGAUUUUCUGAUUUACCAGUACGUAUGUACGUUGUCUGACAUUAGGCAACUAUUUCAAGAGAGAUAUGCAAACUCUCUGGCUUAUUGUGUGGAUCAAAAGUUUUUCAUGUGCUCUACUGCAUCACAACCUCAGCUUUGGGAGGCACAAGAUUCAGAAAGGUUUAAGUAUGCAAGGGAUACAUCAUUCGGAAAGAGUCAUUUGAACUUCUGGAGCCAGUCAUCAGUUUUCCUUUGCAUUGUGUGCUUCUUCAGACAGUUUUUCAGGCAGUUACUAUGAGUACCUGACUCUGAGGCAUGGUUUUAUCUCGGCACAUUUAGCACAUGAGAUCAUUUAUUCUCAUGCUAAUGGGUGAGAGAAGAGGAUUUGGCAAAGAUCUUCGUUGUACUUUACGAUUUUCUGAGGAGGUGAAACUGGUCACCCGAGACCAUAGGAAGAAGGUAAAUUUAAAUGUUGAAGAGCCGAACGUUAAAAAAUUAUAUGCAGGCAUAGAUUGAUGGGUAGAUAUGAAGCUCAUUUAUGGAACAAAGGGUCUUGGAACCCAACACAAAGGAAGAAGGGAAAACAGGUAAGUACUUAAUUACUAGCUAGACUGCUCAAAACCACUUAAUUGUCAGAUAAACAUAUCUUCAAUCAUCUAACACAAAAUCUAUAUGCAGGGGCUUAUGACGAAGAAGAAUCCACAGCAAAAGCAUAUGAGUUGGGUUGCAUUAAGAGGUUAUGACUCUGAUAUUAAAAGUUCAAAUCCCUUGAGACCAACCUUUAAUACAUAUUGCAAAGAUUGUCUGCAGCAGUCGCUUAUAGAAAAAGAAGUUACCUAAACUCAGUAAUUCAUUAUUGUCUUGACCAGAUCUCUAGAUUCAUCUUAGCUUGCAUUAAGAGGACAACAUUGCUGAUUUUCAUCUUGUCAAAUAUCAAGAGUUGCAAAUAUGAGUGUAGAGUAGAUCCCUGUCCUAAACUAAUUAAAUCUCGAUCAGUUUGGCAUCCCACUGAUUAGAUCAGU